GGUGUGGCUCAGUGGUAGAGCAUUUGCCUAGCAUGCAUGAGGCACUGGGUUCAAUCCUCAGCACCA
Molecule: transfer RNA, 66 nt
Filed under: Marmota monax (woodchuck)
Lineage: Eukaryota; Metazoa; Chordata; Mammalia; Rodentia; Sciuridae
Description: tRNA.Ala
Rfam family: tRNA
About the family: Transfer RNA (tRNA) molecules are approximately 80 nucleotides in length. Their secondary structure includes four short double-helical elements and three loops (D, anti-codon, and T loops).
Source: RNAcentral